RNAcentral lists this ribosomal RNA (401 nucleotides) under Escherichia coli. RNAcentral describes it as "bacterial SSU rRNA". It matches the Rfam family "Bacterial small subunit ribosomal RNA", at positions 1050 to 1451 of the family's 1533-position model. RNAcentral also lists the same sequence under 1 other name. Lineage: Bacteria; Pseudomonadati; Pseudomonadota; Gammaproteobacteria; Enterobacterales; Enterobacteriaceae. The record is from RNAcentral.
UGUCGUCAGCUCGUGUUGUGAAAUGUUGGGUUAAGUCCCGCAACGAGCGCAACCCUUAUCCUUUGUUGCCAGCGGUCCGGCCGGGAACUCAAAGGAGACUGCCAGUGAUAAACUGGAGGAAGGUGGGGAUGACGUCAAGUCAUCAUGGCCCUUACGACCAGGGCUACACACGUGCUACAAUGGCGCAUACAAAGAGAAGCGACCUCGCGAGAGCAAGCGGACCUCAUAAAGUGCGUCGUAGUCCGGAUUGGAGUCUGCAACUCGACUCCAUGAAGUCGGAAUCGCUAGUAAUCGUGGAUCAGAAUGCCACGGUGAAUACGUUCCCGGGCCUUGUACACACCGCCCGUCACACCAUGGGAGUGGGUUGCAAAAGAAGUAGGUAGCUUAACCUUCGGGAGGGC